UACGUAGGGGGCAAGCGUUGUCCGGAAUCAUUGGGCGUAAAGCGCGCGUAGGCGGCUCGAUCAGUCUGCUGUGAAAGUCAAAGGCUCAACCUUUGAAUGCCGGUGGAUACUGUCGAGCUAGAGUCCGGAAGAGGCGAGUGGAAUUCCUGGUGUAGCGGUGGAAUGCGCAGAUAUCAGGAGGAACACCGAUGGCGAAGGCAGGUCACUGGGCCGCAACUGACGCUGAGGAGCGAAAGCAUGGGGAGCGAACAGG
RNAcentral lists this ribosomal RNA (253 nucleotides) under uncultured bacterium. Its description in RNAcentral is "partial 16S ribosomal RNA". It matches the Rfam family "Bacterial small subunit ribosomal RNA", at positions 524 to 776 of the family's 1533-position model. The record is from RNAcentral.